UAAAAUUAAAUAUUAAAGCCAAAGACAGUAGGCAAAAAUAAGUCCUACCGAGGUUAUAAAUAACGUGUAUAAAGCACUUUUUAUAAUCUCGUAUUGGAUAUAAAAAGUGUUUUUAAUUAUAUAU
Clostridium sp. CAG:470 is the source of this 124-nucleotide non-coding RNA. The record is from Rfam. Lineage: Bacteria; Bacillati; Bacillota; Clostridia; Eubacteriales; Clostridiaceae.